RNAcentral lists this non-coding RNA (470 nucleotides) under Pongo abelii (Sumatran orangutan). Lineage: Eukaryota; Metazoa; Chordata; Mammalia; Primates; Hominidae. The record is from RNAcentral.
GGGGACUGAACAUCGUUCACCAAAUACACUUUGUGAUGCUGGGCUUGAAAUCUACGGUUUUCCUGUCUUAAAAGAGAAUUCUGUGACUCCAUGGAAGACAUCUGAAUUUUGUUAGCAAGGAGUUCUUCUGUAGCUGCACGUUCUCUCUCAACUGCUGCUGCCAGCAAGAAAUGAGGUCCCACUCUGUCACCCAGGCUGGAGUGCAGUGGCACAAUCGUGGCUUACUGUAGCCUCAACCUCCUAGGCUCAAGCGAUCCUCCCACCUCAGCCUCCAAAGUAGCUGGGACUACAGAAAAACACAUACUUCUUGGAUUUGUGUUUCGGAAAACUGUGACAGUACCUGCUGAAGUUCACCGAUCUCAUGGCGUAAAUAAUCCUCCUUUCUGGCAGCUGCUUGUUCUGUACGCUGCAAUGCAAGCCUAAGGUCCCCCACCUGUAGGAGGAGAAACAAUACAUUCACAAACAAUGGU